GAAAACCAUGAAGGAUUAAAAAUAAAAAUAGUAUUUUCUAAUCUAGGAAGAAGAUAUAAGAAAAUAGGUGAACAUUUAUAUCUAAUGUUAGAAAAAGAAGAAUUAAAAUUAGAAGAUAAAUUAACAGCAAUGGUAAGAAUAGAAAAAGAAAAUGAAGAGAUAGAUAGAAAAAAGGAAAUAGAAAAAAUAAAACAACAAACUACGGAAGAAAUACGAAAAAUAGAAGAAACCAAAAAUAGUAGAAUUGCUGAAUUAGAAAAAGAAUUACAAAUGUUAAAAGAACUGUAUGAACAAAGACAAAAAGAAAA
This 308-nucleotide long non-coding RNA is filed under the name Capsicum annuum. RNAcentral describes it as "long non-coding RNA (CANN_LNC022398)". Lineage: Eukaryota; Viridiplantae; Streptophyta; Magnoliopsida; Solanales; Solanaceae. The record is from RNAcentral.